Molecule: transfer RNA, 68 nt
Filed under: Heosemys depressa
Lineage: Eukaryota; Metazoa; Chordata; Testudines; Geoemydidae
Description: tRNA-Glu
Rfam family: tRNA
About the family: Transfer RNA (tRNA) molecules are approximately 80 nucleotides in length. Their secondary structure includes four short double-helical elements and three loops (D, anti-codon, and T loops).
Source: RNAcentral
GUUUCUGUAGUUGAAUACAACGGUGGUUUUUCAGAUCAUAGGUCUUGGUUGGAGUCCGGGCAGAAAUU